GAUUGCCUCAGUAACGGCGAGUGAAGCGGCAACAGCUCAAAUUUGAAAUCUGCCGCAAGGCCGAGUUGUAAUUUGUAGAGGAUGCUUCUGGGCAGCGGCCGGUCUAAGUUCCUUGGAACAGGACGUCAUAGAGGGUGAGAAUCCCGUAUGCGACCGGUUGGCACCCGUCACGUAGCUCCUUCGACGAGUCGAGUUGUUUGGGAAUGCAGCUCUAAAUGGGUGGUAAAUUCCAUCUAA
RNAcentral lists this ribosomal RNA (237 nucleotides) under Elasticomyces elasticus. Its description in RNAcentral is "partial large subunit ribosomal RNA". It matches the Rfam family "Eukaryotic large subunit ribosomal RNA", at positions 73 to 313 of the family's 3401-position model. Lineage: Eukaryota; Fungi; Ascomycota; Dothideomycetes; Mycosphaerellales; Teratosphaeriaceae. The record is from RNAcentral.